UACAGAGGGUGCAAGCGUUGUUCGGAAUUAUUGGGCGUAAAGCGCGUGUAGGCGGUUCUGCAAGUCGGAUGUGAAAGCCCUCGGCUUAACCGAGGAAGUGCGUUCGAUACUACAGAACUUGAGUACCGGAGAGGGUGGCGGAAUUCCCGGUGUAGAGGUGAAAUUCGUAGAUAUCGGGAGGAACACCAGUGGCGAAGGCGGCCACCUGGACGGCUACUGACGCUGAGACGCGAAAGCGUGGGGAGCAAACAGG
Molecule: ribosomal RNA, 253 nt
Filed under: uncultured bacterium
Lineage: Bacteria
Description: partial 16S ribosomal RNA
Rfam family: Bacterial small subunit ribosomal RNA
Source: RNAcentral